RNAcentral lists this ribosomal RNA (468 nucleotides) under uncultured bacterium. RNAcentral describes it as "partial 16S ribosomal RNA". It matches the Rfam family "Bacterial small subunit ribosomal RNA", at positions 28 to 507 of the family's 1533-position model. The record is from RNAcentral.
GACGAACGCUGGCGGCGUGCUUAACACAUGCAAGUCGAACGGAAAGGCCCUGCUUUUGUGGGGUGCUCGAGUGGCGAACGGGUGAGUAACACGUGAGUAACCUGCCCUUGACUUUGGGAUAACUUCAGGAAACUGGGGCUAAUACCGGAUAGGAGCUCCUGCUGCAUGGUGGGGGUUGGAAAGUUUCGGCGGUUGGGGAUGGACUCGCGGCUUAUCAGCUUGUUGGUGGGGUAGUGGCUUACCAAGGCUUUGACGGGUAGCCGGCCUGAGAGGGUGACCGGACACGUUGGGCCUGAGAUGCGGCCCAGACUCCUACGGGAGGCAGCAGUGGGGAAUAUUGCACAAUGGGCGGAAGCCUGAUGCAGCAACGCCGCGUGGGGGAUGACGGCCUUCGGGUUGUAAACCGCUUUCGCCUGUGACGAAGCGUGAGUGACGGUAAUGGGUGAAGAAGCACCGGCUAACUACGUG